Neopelma chrysocephalum (saffron-crested tyrant-manakin) is the source of this 1902-nucleotide long non-coding RNA. RefSeq lists it as uncharacterized. The record is from RefSeq and is a predicted model, not a curated record. NCBI's taxonomy places the organism in Eukaryota, Metazoa, Chordata, Aves, Passeriformes, Pipridae. The transcript has 3 exons.
GAAGAUGUGCAUAUUUAGCAUCUUAAAAGUUAGAAAGAAGCACUUGUGAUGGCACCUGAGGUAACUGCAGUGGUGCUACAUCUUUAACUGUGUCAAUGGAUGGAGCAACAGUCACUUAUUUCCUUACACUCCCUGCCAUUCCCAGUAUCUAACUUUAAAGAAUGCAAGCAUAAGCAAUUAUUGAACGUCUUAUCCUUCUGCUCUGUCCUCAUUUGUUCAGUGAAUGAGAGUGGAAGCCUCUUUGAGCUCCUUUGAGAAAUGCACCAGGGCCAUGGAAGAUGGGAGAAGAGCUUUGCCUGGGAACUCUACCUAAAAAGUAAUUUUUUCUCCAUUAACCCUGUAAGCUUUAUAAUGUAGCUUUCAUUAAGAAAGCUAAAACCAGCAACAGCUAGAUGAACUCACUCUUCUAAUCUUAAAAAAAAAGUAAAUGUGUGUACAACAAGCAAUGAUCUAAAUAUUACAAAAAUUUGUAUGAAGUAAGUGAAAGUAAAGUGUAAUGCUGUUGAAAAAUGAGUUUUGCUGCAACUUAAGCGUAGAAGUUUGCAGACUUUUUUUGCUUGGGUUUUUCAUUUGGUCACUGCUUCAGGAGUCCCAGGUUUGAAAUUGUGUGGCAGCCACCCCAUAUUUAGACCAGAGGGAUCAGAAGGGAGGCCUUAAUAGCCAUUGUUUCAGAGCCCUAUGGGAACAGGUCUGACAGACUUGUUUUCUGGAGUCUGUGAGGCCAUUGUUAGUGUGCUGAUAGAGGGGAAAAGUCUUUGCAUUUUUCUAUAUUCACUUGUUUUCUCUUCUGAAUUAUUGCAGUAUUCUCAUCAGUUAGCAGACAGGCCACCAUGCCUUGCUUGGUGAGCUUUCAGCAUGCCUUGUCCUCUGUUUCUCAGGCCAGAGGUGCCCCUUUGAGUUCUCACACAUCUGUCCUUUCUUCUUUGGUCUGACCAGGUGUGGCAGUGGUGUUUUGGUGGUGUUUGGUUGGUAGAUUUUAUUGUGUUUUCUUAGCAAGCCUAGACAAUCACAGCCGUAAGUGAGGGUGGUAAAAUAUGUGGAGAACUGGAACAUCUGAAAAUCAGGUCCUUAAUUCAUGGUCAUGACUGUCAAAACUUCUGAACUGGUUUUGAUGCCAUAAUAGACAAUUACAUGGUCUUGGAAGCAGUUCUAAUGACAGUAAUUUUUCACUAACUUCUUUUUCAUGCUCACCCUCAAAUUCUCAUUUAAGAGCCUGGCAUGUAGAAAUUUUAAUUUGUAUUUCUGAAACCUCUAAAAAUCUGGUUUGUACAGCUGUUUUUUUCUGUGGUUUUCCCUAGAAAAUACUUUGUUACCUUUACUUUUCACCCAUAUGACAAAUAAAUGAGUUUUAAUUAUUGUUUUUGUAGGGAUUGAAUCUCUUUCAUGUUUUGAUUUUUAAGUUGAAAUUGAGUAAAUAAAUUAAAUGCAAUCUCCACGUCAAUAGAAAGCAAGGAAGAUUAUGAAAUAAGGCUUUACAUGUGUAGCUUUGCAACAAUAGAAUAAAAAGUGGAAUAAUGAACUGUAAAUGUAUCUAAUUACAUAAAUAAUGCAUUUGUGUAAUUGUCUAGUAGGGGUGUGCUAAUGAAACAAUUAUUUUUAAUUGUAGGAUGCUUGAUUGUUUCAGAAAUAUAAUUGAUUCUAAUAAAGAAUCAGUUAAAUGUUGGUAGUAAUUGUAUUUAUUAAAUAUAAUAUAUUAUUAUAGUUUAGAAACGUUUUCAAAAAAGGAAGUAUUAAAGGACUAUACUGGUGUUAAGUGUUCAUACCAUUGGGCUUACUGUAAUAGUGCACAAUAAAAAAGAAAUGUGUUUUAUUCUCAUCUUCCUUUGUUAUCUCAUCUGAUCUCUGAGGCUAAACAAGGGUUUAGAUUUGAUUAGUAUUCAUGAGUCUUAGCUUGCUGCAUGA